Long non-coding RNA from Glossina fuscipes, 1655 nucleotides. RefSeq lists it as uncharacterized. The record is from RefSeq and is a predicted model, not a curated record. Lineage: Eukaryota; Metazoa; Arthropoda; Insecta; Diptera; Glossinidae. The transcript has 4 exons.
AAAAAAGGCAUAAUUGAAAAAUUAAGAAAAACAAACGUUCAUAUGAUUUUUUUCUAUUUAAGGGAUUCCGAAAAAGGUAUAAUAUGAACUUGGCUGGAAGUUUCCAAUAAGAGAAGGUGGUGGGUUUGUGUGCAAUGGUGUAUAAGAAACUCCUUAGAAUAGAAAUGUGAUGAUAAGUAAACUAUAGCCAGCACUCAGUUCCUAAAUGCCAUUCAACGCGUACGGUACGUUAGUCAACCAAAGUCAACCGAUAAAGUUAAUGAGGCUUUAUAACGAGUACUGGAUAAGCACAAUUGGUUAAAUAAAUGAUAAAAAAAUAAAAUUCGCAACUGUUGAACUUAUGCCAAUUAUUAUGGUUGCUCAUACGUUAUGGACCGCCGAGGUGUUGUGAUGUGAUAAUGUAUUUGUUUACGAGAUUGGCUGCUGUUUGUAAAUAUUUCAACAAAAAACGUUUAAGGUGAAACAGUAUAUGAAAUGCUAUGAAAUUAAGCAGAAAUAAAAAAUAAAAACAAAAAAAAAAAACAACAUUGGCGUUAAUUCACUAUUAAUAAGAGAAUUUUAUAUUUAUAACCAAUUUUUGUGUUAUUUUUCUGUUCCGUUGCGUUUGUUUCGCUCUGCUUUGCAAACAUUUUUAUGAACAUCUAUCUAGUAGUCUAAAGGUUAAAUAUUUUUAAACGAGUCUUUAUUUUUCAAUGAGUGCCGUAAUUAUUUGUUUGUUUAUUUAUAAACAAGAAACAUCAUUUAAAAUGUAAUAACAAUGAAAGUGAUGUAAAUUUAAACAGAUUUUCAAACAAAUUUUACAAAAUGAACUAAAAAGAUGAAAUAUUUUGAAGCAAAUUAAAUCGUGAUAUGAAAGUUGGGUUAAAAAAAAAAAUUAUAAAAUUAAUGUGAUAAAUUAAACGUCUUUAUUUGUGAACAUUGUGCUGUGAUUCAAGUUUUUGUGAUUGGACUUUAAUAUCUUCGAAUUAUUUUUAUCGUCUGUUUUGCUCGAAAGUAAGGAAAGUCAUGGACACCUUAGUUUACUAAUAUCGAGAACAGGUACGAACGGCUGGUCUAAUAACUUAUCAUAAAUCUACGUGAUGUCGUUAGAGCGUUGCCCUCAAAGUGUAAUCGGUUGCCAGUUUAGUGUUUAGUUAUCUCUACGGAGUCCUAUAAGUCGUGGUUGGGAGAAAGCGGCUCUGUUGAGGCUCUUUAUGGGAUAUGAUGCGUGGUCUUAACCAAGCGAAGAUACACGUUGAACGUUGUUGGAAUUAUGCCGCAUAUGAGCCUUCAUCUAGAACAUGUGACAUGAAGGAUGAAAAAUAUUCACACAAACAGCUCUUGAAUGCACGUCAAAGAAUCGUCUUUCUUUCAAUUUCUAAUUCAAGAUAAAAUCAAUCGAGAAAAAAUCAAGUCGAAAUACUAUUGGAAAAAAGGGAAACAUUUCUAUAUCCUAUUGAUGUAUCUUAUACGAGAGCCAAAUUUACUUCGCAGUACAUUUCUAAAACAAGAAGUCAGCUUAAGAGAAUGAGAUGAAGUGAGAAGACGAAAUGACUUCCGUACUGAAAAUGUCCGGAUGUGAAUGGUUGAGGAAUACCUCGGAAAAUUUCUUAAAUAAUGUCCCAACAAAUUCCGGCAACAACUAAAAUAAAUAAAACUUCUAUCACUUCACCAUA